UUCCCUGCUUAGUGCGUGUAGACUGGAAUUUUAUUACCAACAAAUAAAAUAAGGGAGUCCGCCUUUGAAAGUGGCGUGUAUGCUUGCAUUUAUGUAAGAAACCCAUAAGCUUUCAACAAGACACCCACCUGUGAAAACAGGUAUUAAAAAUCCAUUCAUCUUGCGGCUUCAUAGUGGG
Molecule: non-coding RNA, 178 nt
Filed under: human gut metagenome
Description: 6S / SsrS RNA
Rfam family: 6S / SsrS RNA
About the family: E. coli 6S RNA was the first non coding RNA to be sequenced, but its function was unknown until recently. It consists of 184 nucleotides that fold into an extended hairpin structure with a large single-stranded internal bulge.
Source: RNAcentral